Molecule: unclassified non-coding RNA, 1895 nt
Filed under: Pomacea canaliculata
Lineage: Eukaryota; Metazoa; Mollusca; Gastropoda; Architaenioglossa; Ampullariidae
Description: trichohyalin-like, transcript variant X9
Source: RNAcentral
AGCCUCCAGAUUCAACACAAGGAAGAGAAAGAGUUGAGGGUCUCACAGGCAGCUAGUCUAAACAGGCACUGGAAAAUAUACAGCAGUUGGAGCAGCAAGUUUCCAGUCUGCAUAAGCAGCUCCUGAAAAGCCAGCAAGAGGUAGCAGAGACUUGCAAGGAGCUGACUCAAGUGAGGGAAAGACAAGCAGAAUGGGAAGAAGAGUAUCUCAGGCUGAAGAAAGAGAUGCAACUGCAGCAGAAGCAGCUUACAAAAUUGGACUCCCCCAGAAGUCCAUCCCUGGAAGGAGAGAAACAACUUGCAGUAGAAGCUACUAACCGAUUAGUUGCAGAAAACAAGGAACUUAAAGAUCGCGUUGAUGAAUUGAUGGUGCAAAUUGAGGAAAUGCAGCGCCAAAGUCUAGCAGCAAGUUUACGCCAUGGAAGCAGUGUUUCAGCGAGAAGAAAUUCCUUAGCAUCACGUAUACCUGUUCGAACACAAACUUCAUCCCUGUCCUCAGAUGCUUCAGAAAUGGAUGAUGAUGAACUUUUAAGUUCUUCUGAAGGAUUCUACUUUAACCGCCGCAGUCUCCUGGCAACACCUGAAGAAUCUGACAGCUCCCCAAGUCUCAGCAGUGAAUUAAAACAUCUUCAUCGACAGAGGCGAGGAGAGCUCCGAGAAAGAGAGAGAAAGGAGGUAGAACAUGCCUACCGUGUGGAGAUUGCAGACUUAGAAGAUAAGCAGAGAGAAGAGAAAGAACAGAUAAUAAAAGCCUUUGAAAGGGAGAAGACUAGGAUGACAGAAGACUUUCAGGCAGUCAUGAAUCAGCGUCUGGCAGAGCAGCAGAAAGAGCUGCAGAAUAUUUUUGCUCUUGAAAAGCAGGACCUGCUGCAGCAGUAUGAGUCCCGCAAGAACUACAUGGAGUUGCAGCAUCAGCAGAAGAUUCAGCAAGUUCUAGCCGGCAGGGCAAGAGAAGAAAUUCAAGACAAGGAAAAGUUUCCCCGGAACCAGAUGAAGGAAAUUUCAGACUUGCACCGUCAUCUUUCCCAGAAUGAGUCCAUCAUACAAGAUCUAAAAAAAGAGAAUGCUGCCCUAAUAGCAAAAUUGUUGGAUGUUGAAAACAAACUGUCAUCUUGUCUUAACAAAGAACUUGUGUGGCAGAAAGAGUGUCAACAAAAGUUGCAAGAACAGCAGAGUGCCUUUGAGACCAAACUUCAAUCUGAGCUGAAGAGAGUUUUUGAUCAGGGAGAGUCAGCUCUAGAAGGAAAGUUAAAGGAUGACUUCUAUCAACUUGUGCAGAAGCGAAAGGACACAUUGCAUGAACAUCAGCAGCCUAACACAGAAAGUGGGUCAGCUUCUGAAAACUCUUUUGACAGAGAAGCACUUUAUUCUGCUUUUGAGCAGGAGAAGGUGACUCUUGAAAGUCACUAUGAAUCGAAGAUCCUCAACCUUGAGCAGGAGUUGGCAAACCUCAGAGAAGCUAGUAUCACAGAGCAGAAUGUCACUCACAGUCUGCAGACAUGGAGACAAGUGACGAUGAUGGCGACCAGUACGGAGAUGACUGCAGGCGAAAAGCAGAGGAUGCAGGGUGCGGAGGAAGUGAAGGUGCAGGCCGCUCACCUGAGAGAGCUGGAGUCUUUUUCAGGUCUGCAGAAGCAGAGAAGCAGAGACAGGGGGAGCGAACUGCCUGGGAGGAGGAGAAGCGGGAAAUGCAGCUGCAGUUGAGAUCCACCCAGGACUUGCAUCGCAACUUGGUCCUACAACAUAAACAAUUGUGUCGGUCCAGCACGAAGCUGGCGGAGAUUGCCAAGGACUUGUAUGUGCGGAAUGUUGAACUCACCUGCGAACUGCAGCAGACGGAGAGAAGGCUGCGGACUGCACAGCGACAGUGUCGCAAACUGCAGGAAACAUGUCAGA